CCACUGCCUGUGGGCCAGCCGGCAAAGGCAGACGUAUCGACUCCAUCGAUAACUUCAGCCUGUCCAACACACCAUCCCGGGAGGAAGAUGGAAGAUCCCAGGUCACGUCCCACUCUCGCUCACCCUCAACCACCAGCGAUAUGGAGUCUCAAGAGCAGGUAGAUCAGCCACAACGAGGUGC
Molecule: long non-coding RNA, 181 nt
Organism: Sinocyclocheilus rhinocerous
Lineage: Eukaryota; Metazoa; Chordata; Actinopteri; Cypriniformes; Cyprinidae
Exons: 3
Source: RefSeq, a predicted model, not a curated record